This 348-nucleotide long non-coding RNA is filed under the name Ananas comosus (pineapple). RNAcentral describes it as "long non-coding RNA (ACOM_LNC002019)". The record is from RNAcentral. Lineage: Eukaryota; Viridiplantae; Streptophyta; Magnoliopsida; Poales; Bromeliaceae.
CAGGUGUGUUUUCUAGUGUAGGUUUAAUGUAAAUAUAGGUUUAAUGUACUAUAAUUGUGUAAUGUAAAUGUAGGUUUAAUGUAAUGUAAUGUGAAUGUAAAUGUAGGUUUAAUGUAGGUUUAAUGUAACUGUAAUUGUGGUUCCCUAGGGUUAAAUGAGUUGUUGGUUGAAUGGUAUGAUCUAACGGGUGAAAAUGAUCAAAGGGUAAAUUUCACGGCCGAAAAUAUAGAAUUCAGACUACGCGGGGAAUUUCACGGCCGAAAAUAUAGUAGUCAGACUCUAUAUUUGUAUUAUUUGUUUGAAAAAAAUAUAGAAUGGAGAUGAGUUUUGGUCCAAUAGACCAGAAUU